AAGGAUUCAAAAUUUCUCAUGUGGCAAAGGAAAAUGGAGGGAACACUAAAAUGCACACAUGAGGGAUGCGUGAGAAGAGAAGCAAAACCUAGGCCCUAUUACAAAUUUCCAUGGCACACUAAAAUGCUUCUUGCACAACUUCUCAUCAUAUAUUAGAACCCGUAAAUCCGGUGAUAAUUUCUUAGGGAAGGUAGCACUCCGACGAUAAACUCAAAGCCGAAG
Molecule: long non-coding RNA, 222 nt
Filed under: Olea europaea (common olive)
Lineage: Eukaryota; Viridiplantae; Streptophyta; Magnoliopsida; Lamiales; Oleaceae
Description: long non-coding RNA (OEUR_LNC010526)
Source: RNAcentral